GACGAACGCUGGCGGCAUGCUUUACACAUGCCAGUCGGACGGGAAGUGGUGUUUCUAGUGGCGGACGGGUGAGUAACGCGUAAGAACCUGCCCUUGGGAGGGGAACAACAGCUGGAAACGGCUGUUAAUACCCCGUAGGCUGAGGAGCGAAAGGAGGAAUCCGCCCUAGGAGGGGCUCGCGUCUGAUUGGCUAGGUGGUGAGGUAAUAGAUUACCAAGGCCGUGAUCAGUAGCUGGUCUGAGAGGAUGAUCAGCCACACUGGGACUGAGACGAGGCGCAGACUCCUGGAGGAAGCAGCAGUGAAGAAUUUACCACGGUGGGCGAAAGCCUGACGCAGCGAUGCGGGGUGGAGGUAAACGGCCGGGGGGUCAUGAGCUUCUGUUUCUGAAGAAGAGAGAGUGACGGUAUCUGGUGAAUAAGCAUCGGCUAACUCUGUG
RNAcentral lists this ribosomal RNA (437 nucleotides) under uncultured bacterium. RNAcentral's name for it is "partial 16S ribosomal RNA". It matches the Rfam family "Bacterial small subunit ribosomal RNA", at positions 28 to 507 of the family's 1533-position model. The record is from RNAcentral.